AGCGAACGCUGGCGGCAGGCUUAACACAUGCAAGUCGAGCGGGCACUUUCGGGUGUCAGCGGCGGACGGGUGAGUAACGCGUGGGAACGUGCCCUCUGGUUCGGAAUAACUCAGGGAAACUUGAGCUAAUACCGGAUACGCCCUUUUGGGGAAAGGCUUGCUGCCGGAGGAUCGGCCCGCGUCUGAUUAGCUAGUUGGUGAGGUAACGGCUCACCAAGGCGACGAUCAGUAGCUGGUCUGAGAGGAUGAUCAGCCACACUGGGACUGAGACACGGCCCAGACUCCUACGGGAGGCAGCAGUGGGGAAUAUUGGAAAAUGGGCGCAAGCCUGAUCCAGCCAUGCCGCGUGAGUGAUGAAGGCAUUAGGGUUGUAAAGCUCUUUUAUCCGGGACGAUAAUGACGGUACCGGAGGAAUAAGCCCCGGCUAACUUCGU
RNAcentral lists this ribosomal RNA (434 nucleotides) under uncultured bacterium. RNAcentral describes it as "partial 16S ribosomal RNA". It matches the Rfam family "Bacterial small subunit ribosomal RNA", at positions 29 to 506 of the family's 1533-position model. The record is from RNAcentral.